AGCAGCCGCGGUAAUUCCAGCUCCAAUAGCGUAUAUUAAAGUUGCUGCAGUUAAAAAGCUCGUAGUUGAAUUUCGGGACCAAUAUGUCGGUCGUGCCUCGGUACGUACUGGCAUCGUUGGUUUCUCCCUUCUGACGAACCAUGAUGUCAUUUAUUUGGUGUCGUGGGGAAUCAGGACUGUUACUUUGAAAAAUUAGAGUGUUUAAAGCAGGCUCACGCUUGAAUACAUUAGCAUGGAAUAAUGAAAUAGGACGUUUGAUUCUAUUUUGUUGGUUUCUAGGAUCGACGUAAUGAUUAAUAGGGAUAGUUGGGGGCAUUAGUAUUCAAUUGUCAGAGGUGAAAUUCUUGGAUUUAUUGAAGACUAACUACUGCGAAAGCAUUUGCCAAGGAUGUUUUCAUUAAUCAAGAACGAAAGUUAGGGGAUCGAAGACGAUCAGAUACCGUCGUAGUCUUAACCAUAAACUAUGCCGACUAGGGAUCGGAUGGUGUUAAGUUUUUUAAUGUACUCA
This 508-nucleotide ribosomal RNA is filed under the name uncultured Glomeraceae. RNAcentral describes it as "SSU rRNA". It matches the Rfam family "Eukaryotic small subunit ribosomal RNA", at positions 569 to 1078 of the family's 1831-position model. The record is from RNAcentral. Lineage: Eukaryota; Fungi; Glomeromycota; Glomeromycetes; Glomerales; Glomeraceae.